Molecule: microRNA precursor, 97 nt
Filed under: Cajanus cajan (pigeon pea)
Lineage: Eukaryota; Viridiplantae; Streptophyta; Magnoliopsida; Fabales; Fabaceae
Description: miRNA gene-KK1_039468
Source: RNAcentral
UUUUACAUUAUAUGUAAUAUAUUUAAUGGAAAUAAUAAUGUGUAGAAUAGUUUUAUACACUCACUCAAUGAUAAUAUAUUAAAAAUAUGAAUUUAUU